This is a long non-coding RNA of Peromyscus leucopus (white-footed mouse), 548 nucleotides long. RefSeq lists it as uncharacterized. Lineage: Eukaryota; Metazoa; Chordata; Mammalia; Rodentia; Cricetidae. The transcript has 3 exons. The record is from RefSeq and is a predicted model, not a curated record.
CCCCGCACCCCGCCCCCGUCCUCCUCUCUCCCCACCCUCUCUCACCCCCCCUGUGUCCCAAACUAUGGCACAAUAGCGCUCAGCUCCUCUGUCUAUUCUGUGUCCAGCAGGAGCCCGCGGUGAUUCAUUGCUCCAAUUAGGGGCUCUGCAGCCCGUGGCUCGGGCUGUCUGAAGGGUCUCCUUUGGGACCCACGAAACCCAUCAGCCGCUGCCGCUGAUCUUUAAGGAAAGGUCAAGCCGGACGCAUUAGAGCCAGGUUUGGGAAAAGCAGAACCUAGGCAAUGCUGACAGACCAGGCUCUCCAGAGACCAGGGCAAGAGGAUCUCAAGUUCAAGGCCAGCCUGGGCUACACAAAUCAUCAGGCCAUCUGGCAGGAUGGUACCUACUAUAAUCCCAGCACCCUGGAGAUGGAUGGGAAGUUCAAGGCCAGCCUGAGCUGCAAAGUGAAACCUUGUCUCAAAAAAUAAAACCUCGGAAGGAGGCAGUUAAGACCAAAAUGCAUUUUAUACAGGCAUGGAAUUCUCAAAGAAUAAAAAUAUUAAAAAUAA